AAUGAAAUAGUAUGGAUUGGGGAAAUUACAAACUAGGAUUUUGGAAAAUUUGGGGGUUUUGAAAAAUGAAGUGCUGAUGAUAUAUUAAUGUUAAAUUAUAGUCAUUUGGGGUGAAUUAAAUUUGAUUUGGUGUUGGUUAGUGCAAGUUCUACUUAGCUCUCUCCUUUCACCUUUUAAAACAUGUGGAAUUGAGUUGAAUUUCUAUGAAAAUUUAAGAAAAUGAUAAGUAUUUAGGGAAGGUGAAAUUUGGCAGCCUUGAUGCAUGAGAGUAUGAAGAGUUUAAUUGAUAUUAAAAUUGCUUAGAAAUGGUAUUAGAUGUGUAUAUGUGAUGGACAUGUUGAUUUGGUAUAAGUUGCAUGGGAUGUGAUUAUGGAGGUUAGGGUUUUACAUGAAAAUUGGGAAUUUGUUGAUAUGAUACUCAAAUGAGGUAGUUAAGGUCAACUAGUGAUCAUUUGAGAUAGUUUGACCAUGUAUUGAAG
Molecule: unclassified non-coding RNA, 479 nt
Filed under: Hevea brasiliensis (rubber tree)
Lineage: Eukaryota; Viridiplantae; Streptophyta; Magnoliopsida; Malpighiales; Euphorbiaceae
Source: RNAcentral